UGGUCAUAGCAGCGGGGUCACACCUGUUCCCAUCCCGAACACAGAAGUUAAGCCUGCUCGCGCCGAUGGUACUGCAUGGGCAACUGUGUGGGAGAGUAGGUCGCCGCCAUCG
Molecule: ribosomal RNA, 112 nt
Filed under: Candidatus Cloacimonadota bacterium
Lineage: Bacteria; Pseudomonadati; Candidatus Cloacimonadota
Also listed under: 1 other name
Source: RNAcentral